AACGAACGCUGGCGGCAUGCCUAACACAUGCCAGUCGAACGAGACCUUCGGGUCUAGUGGCGCACGGGUGCGUAACGCGUGGGAAUCUGCCCUUGGGUUCGGAAUAACAGUUGGAAACGACUGCUAAUACCGGAUGAUGACGUAAGUCCAAAGAUUUAUCGCCCAAGGAUGAGCCCGCGUAGGAUUAGCUAGUUGGUGAGGUAAAGGCUCACCAAGGCGACGAUCCUUAGCUGGUCUGAGAGGAUGAUCAGCCACACUGGGACUGAGACACGGCCCAGACUCCUACGGGAGGCAGCAGUGGGGAAUAUUGGACAAUGGGCGAAAGCCUGAUCCAGCAAUGCCGCGUGAGUGAUGAAGGCCUUAGGGCUGUAAAGCUCUUUUACCCGGGAUGAUAAUGACAGUACCGGGAGAAUAAGCUCCGGCUAACUCCGUG
This 433-nucleotide ribosomal RNA is filed under the name uncultured bacterium. RNAcentral's name for it is "partial 16S ribosomal RNA". It matches the Rfam family "Bacterial small subunit ribosomal RNA", at positions 29 to 507 of the family's 1533-position model. The record is from RNAcentral.